RNAcentral lists this long non-coding RNA (224 nucleotides) under Lathyrus oleraceus (garden pea). RNAcentral's name for it is "Pisum sativum (pea) long non-coding RNA (PSAT_LNC011654)". The record is from RNAcentral. Lineage: Eukaryota; Viridiplantae; Streptophyta; Magnoliopsida; Fabales; Fabaceae.
AAGGAGUAUGUCAUCUGAUACAUGGGAAAUUAAGAAGAAGAUCAUGCAGUUGUUUGCUUGAAUGUGGUUGUCUUUAUUUGAUGCCUCUGCUCUUCAUCUUGCUAUUUGUGUAUUGAUAUUGUUUGAUUCUAAAGUCCAAGGGAAAAAUGAGUUCCUAUAUGACCUUCUUGUCUAUUAGAUUGCAUCCCAUUGGUAAGAUCUUUUCAACUCUUAACUUUUAAUUU